RNAcentral lists this ribosomal RNA (487 nucleotides) under uncultured Actinomycetes bacterium. RNAcentral describes it as "bacterial SSU rRNA". It matches the Rfam family "Bacterial small subunit ribosomal RNA", at positions 940 to 1431 of the family's 1533-position model. The record is from RNAcentral. Lineage: Bacteria; Bacillati; Actinomycetota; Actinomycetes.
UGCGGCUUAAUUCGACGCAACGCGAAGAACCUUUACCAAGGCUUGACAUAUACAGGAAUAUGGCAGAGAUGUCAUAGCCGCAAGGUCUGUAUACAGGUGGUGCAUGGUUGUCGUCAGCUCGUGUCGUGAGAUGUUGGGUUAAGUCCCGCAACGAGCGCAACCCUCGUUCUGUGUUGCCAGCAUUUAGUUGGGGACUCACAGGAGACUGCCGGGGUUAACUCGGAGGAAGGUGGGGAUGACGUCAAAUCAUCAUGCCCCUUAUGUCUUGGGCUGCACGCAUGCUACAAUGGCUGGUACAAACGGCUGCAAUACCGCAAGGUGGAGCGAAUCCGAGAAAGCCAGUCUCAGAUCGGAUUGGGGUCUGCAACUCGACCCCAUGAAGUCGGAGUUGCUAGUAAUCGUAGAUCAGCAACGCUACGGUGAAUACGUUCCCGGGGCUUGUACACACCGCCCGUCACGUCACGAAAUCGGUACACCCGAAGUCAGU